Molecule: ribosomal RNA, 253 nt
Filed under: uncultured bacterium
Lineage: Bacteria
Description: partial 16S ribosomal RNA
Rfam family: Bacterial small subunit ribosomal RNA
Source: RNAcentral
UACGUAGGGUGCAAGCGUUGUCCGGAAUUAUUGGGCGUAAAGAGCUCGUAGGCGGUUUGUCGCGUCUGGUGUGAAAAUCCAGGGCUUAACCCUGGACCUGCAUCGGGUACGGGCAGACUAGAGUGCGGUAGGGGAGAUCGGAAUUCCUGGUGUAGCGGUGAAAUGCGCAGAUAUCAGGAGGAACACCGGUGGCGAAAGCGGCUUCCUGGUCCGACACCGACGUUCAGGCACGAAAGCGUGGGGAGCAAACAGG